Molecule: ribosomal RNA, 253 nt
Filed under: uncultured bacterium
Lineage: Bacteria
Description: partial 16S ribosomal RNA
Rfam family: Bacterial small subunit ribosomal RNA
Source: RNAcentral
UACGUAGGAUCCAAGCGGUGUCCGGAUUUACUGGGUGUAAAGGGGGCGCAGGCGGACUGGUUAGUCUGGGGUGAAAUCUCAUCGCUUAACGGUGAAACUGCCUUAGAUACUGCCAGUCUUGAAUCAGCGAGAGGUUCGUGGAAUUCCGAGUGUAGCAGUGAAAUGUGUAGAUAUUCGGAAGAACACCAGUGGCGAAGGCAGCGAACUGGCGCUCGAUUGACGCUCAGGCACGAAAGCAUGGGGAUCAAACAGG